GAUUUUGUUACGGUCCUUUAUUUGCGGUACGGUUUUUAACUAUGGAAUUUAUUGAUACACCAGCUACGAAAUUUUGGAAUGAUGAGAAAUCAUGCACAAGAAAACGUUUUACAUAAGGCCAAGAUAGUGCCAGCAGCCGCGGUCAUACUAGCCUAGGGAGUAAAUAAUAUAAGUGAUGUAUGGCUGGUAUAAGUAUAUUACGGCGGUGAAAUAUGCUCUAUAUAAUUGCUAACAUAAGUCUUGAUAAUACAACAAAUACCAACGCAAACAAGGAUUAGAUACCCUUCUAUGUGGUACGAAAAAAAUAUUCACUGGGUAUUAAAGUACCUACCCAAACUCAAAUAACAUGGCGGUAAUUUUAAAGCUUAGGGGAACUUACCUAAUAAAUGAUAACCACCAAGCGAAGCUACUUUAAGUCAGAUUUUGUAUGCCGUCGUCUAGAUUAAAUAUUAUAUUUAAUCCUAAGUUAUGCUUAACUAAUGACAGAUCUUGGUGCAGACCAUCUUAUAGAUAAGGCGAGUUACAUUAACAAAUUAUUCCUAUCGGUAGAUCUAUAAAACCCAAAUAGUUGGACUUAAUAGUAAGGAUUAUAUUAUAAAUACUACCUGAAUCUAAAUAAAAUUGUGC
This 627-nucleotide ribosomal RNA is filed under the name Trochulus coelomphala. Its description in RNAcentral is "partial 12S ribosomal RNA". The record is from RNAcentral. Lineage: Eukaryota; Metazoa; Mollusca; Gastropoda; Stylommatophora; Hygromiidae.